GGGUGUUUUCCCAUUCUCAUGUAUACAACUUUUAGUAGUUGGGGCUGUAGUACCGCCAGCCAGAAAACUCGUGGAGAUAAAGAUAACUUCUCUGGAUUUGUUUAGCGGUGAGAUAAGUACGAUGCAUUCAAGUCAAACCUGCCAGCCAGAAAACUCGUGGAGAUAAAGAUAACUUCUCUGGAUUUGUUUAGCGGUGAGAUAAGUACGAUGCAUUCAAGUCAAACCUGAUAGUGGAUGUAUCAAGAGACCAUGACUGUACUUGUGAAAUGAAUUGCUGUCUAAUACUUCAAUUAUGUGACGGCUCUAGUACUAGUUAUAUAGGAGUGUAGUGUUUCAUUCUCUCAGUCUCAAGCUGUGGGGAACCCAUCUGCAUCCAUUUGAAUGUACAAGGUCUAAAAACUUCAACCACAAAUCCUUUGCAUGAUCAAAAUCAGCUUUUGUUUUUAGAACUCAUGGUUCUCUCAGUGAUAACUAUUUCUUUCAAUCAUGUGUUUAACUUUCUUGCUUCUUCUGAUGCACUUGCCCAUUAAAACCAAUUUUGGUGAAUAGAACUCACAACUCUUUUGGGGAUAUUAUGUCUUCAUACUCUUCUGGUUUUCUUUGCUUCUUGUGCAGAACACAACUGGAAGUGCUGCAAAGAAGCCAAAAGUAGCUGUUGCUUCAGUGUUCGGUGAUGAUAGUGAUGAAGAACAGUGAAAAUCAAUCCCCAUGCCUGCUUACCAGCAAUGUAUUUUACGUAGUCUCCCAUAAAUUUUUGUUGUCUAUGUAAUAUGUCACCAUUGCCCAUUGUAUGAUGUUGUUAGUUCAAAGUGGCUAAGAAAAUAUACAUCACUAUUUUUAUUUUCUUGUUUGUUUAUGCUGAUGAGUUUGCCUAUUCUGUAACCUUUAAAGAAUCACUAAUUGUUUUCAACACUAACAAAUUCUUCAUGCCCCUUAAAAUCCAUUCGUAUCUAGUUACGGUGCAACAGGUGCACCGUGCGCUCUUUUCGUCUUUUUGUGCUUCUGCCAUUGGAUCAGAUGCAAUAGUUUCAAUGGCGUGGUUGUGUUUAUUUGUUUAUUAAUAAUGCAGUCCAUAUUAUUUGUUGAAAAUUUAGAAAAGUUGAGGGCUUAUUCACUAUUAUUUUUGAAUUUGUAUCUUCUGAAAACAAAAAUGAGAAGAAAAAGGUGUUUUGUAGUUGUAUUUAAAAUUUAAGUAUGCGUCUGAUAUUAUUUUUUGUAUGUUAUAUUUUAAAUUGAAAAUAGUAAUAUGUGUUUGUUAAGCAUAAUUAAAAAUGACAAAAAUAAGAAUUAAUGUUCCGUAGUACUAUUUUGAAAAAUAAUUUUUACUAAACAUUUAAGCUAUACUUGGGAAAUAAUUGUUUAACUAAUACGUAUACAAUCAUAACAUAGAUAGUUUAAACAAAAUAAUUCUAAAAAAUUACAUCAUAAUAAAAAAUUUUAGUAUUAACAUUAAAAAAAAAUUAUAUUGUUAUUGUUUUUACACUAUAAUUAAUAUAUAUUACAACAUAGACAACAAACUGAAGUUUUGAAAAAAAAAAUUAUAUUGUAAUUGUUUUUACACUAUAAACAUGACACUAGUGACUAGACAGUAGAGCCAUGCAUGCUAUGCUAAUAAAAUUUGGAGUGACAGACAACAAACUGAAAAUAUACUUUGUUAACAAAAUGGCAUUUGCAAUGAAACCACUAUCAUGGCAAUGACAAUCUUAAGAGAACAAAAUCAUAUUUACAAAAUAAAAAAUAAUUACUAAAAAUUUACUCGAAUAAAAUAAAUACCAGCAACUCGCAAUAAUAAGGACAGAGCCAAGAGAGCAGCAACAACAGAGGCAGUUAAGGCAGAGACAGAGCAGCAGCUGCGUGCAAAGAUGAAGCAGCAGCAGUGCCAGAGAGGGAGCAACAGCAGUGGCCUAGAUGAAGCAGUGGUGGCAGUGGAGACAGAGUACAACAAUUGAUACGGGCACACUGAGGGAGAAUAGAUCGGGAGAGAUAAGAAGAAAGAGAGAGAGCGUUGUUGGAUGAAAAAUGAAGAGAUAAGGAUCGAAGAGGUAAGGAAAGAUUUUUUUUUUUAAUUAUUUUUUAAUUUAGUUUUGUAACAUGUUCUCACUUUAAUAGUUAUAAAAGUGAAUUUGAAUUUAUUAUUUUAUAAUUUAGUUUAUUUUUUUUAAUUUAACCCACUAAACAUGUAUUAUAUUUGUACUUUUUAAAACGAAAAUGAAAACAAAAGCCCAA
This 2226-nucleotide long non-coding RNA is filed under the name Citrus sinensis (sweet orange). RNAcentral's name for it is "long non-coding RNA (CSIN_LNC002464)". Lineage: Eukaryota; Viridiplantae; Streptophyta; Magnoliopsida; Sapindales; Rutaceae. The record is from RNAcentral.